Molecule: long non-coding RNA, 5003 nt
Filed under: Homo sapiens (human)
Lineage: Eukaryota; Metazoa; Chordata; Mammalia; Primates; Hominidae
Description: HSALNT0344797
Source: RNAcentral
AUCUGUGACUCAGCUGCUACAGCAUCAGGCACUGAAGUUGGUUCCUCAUCAUCAGUGAGCUGCUCCCACCGCCCCCAGGCCUGGUUGAGGCCUUGGGGACCUGCAGAGGACCCCAUGCUGCCUCUAACCAGGACAUUGAGGCACAGAGAUUAAGAAACUGACUACAAGGCCCGGCACGGUGGCUCAUGCCUGUAAUCCCAACACUUUGGGAGGCUGAGGCAGGUGGAUCACUUGAGGCCAGGAGUUUGAGACAAGACUGGCCAAUAUGGCAAAACCCCAUCUCGACUAAAAAAUACAAAAAUUAGCCAGGCGUGGUGCCGCACGCCUAUAAUCCCAGCUACUUGGGAGGCUGAGGCAAGAGAAUGGCUUGAACCCAGGAGGUGGAGUUUGCAGUGAGUCGAGAUCACGCCACUGCACUCCAGCAAGGGCAACAGAUCGAAACUCUGUCUGAAAAAAUAAAAAUAAAAAAUAAAAAACUGACCACAGUCCCUUGCUGACCAGUGGCAGGGCAGGGCAGGGACUCAAACCGAAGUGUCCUGGCUCUAGAAUCCAUGCCCGUAAGCCCGGCUCUCCAUCUACUCCCAGCCACUCCUCCCCAAUCUCCUUCCCAAACAAGAAACACUGAUACACAGAAUGAGUUAUGAAGAACCUUGUGUUUUGAUCAUCUGGACAACAGAAAGCCCCUGUUUUAAGAGAAACACAGUGUGUUACUGAUGGUGUCAUCAGUGACGUGGCCCUGAUGUGCCGCCAUGCUCCAGCUCAACUACACCGGAGCAGCAACUGUUUUCACCCUUCUGGAUUCAGCUAAGAAUCACCGACCAUCGAGAACCAGCUAACACCGAAUGCAUCAGAAAGAGCCAACUUCCACAUAGAUCCCUUCCUGGGCAUAUGCUUAGGGGCUCUGCCAAAACCUGAACAAGGCACAUGGUAGAGAUGACACAGCUCGGGUGCCUGUGCAGUAACGUGUCCUCACAGGAAGUGGUGAUGCCUUGCUUUCAUUCCCUACUAUAUCUUUGGCUUCACUACAGUCUUUGUGAAGCUUUCUUCACACCAUACACAGGAACCUCUGGAAAUAACUGUGCUAAGCUAAGCCCCUAGCACAGCGCCUAACACAGAGCAGGAAUUCAAAUUUGUGAAGUGAGUGCACAGCUCUCGCUGCCGUUUUAGAACACCUUGGGAACACUACCUUAAUCCCAACCUCAGAAAUCUUUAAGGAAGAUAGCUAUUAACUUCUUUCUCAUUUUCUACUAGAUGACCAAAUUCCAACGAUCACAAUUCUAUAUUGAAAAUUAUUUCACAGUAAAACCAAAUCAACCAAGGCAAGGAAACAAUAACAUCAUAACAUACGUAUGGUAUUUUACUGAUGUAUUCAUUCAUUCCAGGACACAUCUCCCAGCUUCUACUUACAUUUGCUAAACAGUUUGACACAGAAAUUCUUUAGUUCUAGUUCUCUUCAACUGAUAUUUAAUUUGAAAGUGUUCUUUAAGAAUCCAAAUACAUUGGGCCAGGCGCGGUGGCUCGCGCCUGUAAUCCCAGCACUUUGGGAGGCCAAGGCGGGUGGAUCAUCUGAGGUCAGGAUUUCGAGACCAGCCUGGCCAACAUGGCGAAACCCCGUCUCUACUAAAAAUACAAAAAAUUAGCCAGGUGUGGUGGAACACGCCUGUAAUCCCAAAUACUUGGGAGGCUGAGGCAGGAUAAUUGCUUGAACCAGGGAAAUGGAGGUUGCAGUGAGCCGAGAUUGAGCCACUGUACUCCAGUCUGGGCAACAGAGCAACACUCCGUCUUAAAAAAAAAAAAAAAAAAGAAUCUAAAUACAUCAGUUCUCUGAUCUAAGCCAGGUUCUUUCCUCAUCUUUGUUUCCAUUAUAUAAACAAAUGAUCUCUCACAGUAGUUACUGCUAUUUUCCACUCUAGCCAAUGAUAAAACAUGGGGAUGGCAGCGGUGGGUGGGAAUUCCGGCUUUUCUCCACCAUCUUCUCUGCAAUAAACUGAAAGACCUUAUAAAAGAUGGGUGCAGUUGAGGAAAAAGAAUAAAGGUGGUCAUGGGCAAAUGAAAACUGGUUAAUUGUCCGAAAACUAUCAAGAACUGACCUGUGACCCAGACAGAAAGUAACUCUGCAUGUCUCAACAGAGCACAGUAUACACGAGCUUGAAUAACCAGAAAGAUGUUUAGCAACAAAUCCUCCUCACAAUCAUGUGUUGAGUUCCAAAACACUUCAGAAAAUAAUGGACAAUUACUUAUUCACACAUUUUAGACAGCAAAUAAAACUGAAUUGGUUUAGCAAGAAUAAUAAUCUCUCACAUUGGUGUUAAAAUUAUAUAAGAAUGUAUUUUUAUACCUAGAAUCUCAAACUAGUGAGAGUCAUUUCCCUGAACUCUUUGAAGUAAAUACAUAUUCUCCCCUCUUUACAGGUAAGGGAAAGCUCAAACAGGAGAGGAAUUUUUUUUUUUUUUUUUUUUUUAAUACGGAGUCUCGCUCUUGUCGCCCAGGCUGGAGUGCAAUGACGCCAUCUUGGCUCACUGCAACCUCCGCCUGCAGGAUUCAAAUGAUUCUCCUGCCUCAUCCUCCCAAGUAGCUGGGAUUACAGGUGCCUGCCACCACACGCCUGGCUAAUUUUUGUAUUUUUAGUAGAGACAGGGUUUCACCACGUUGGCCAGGCUGGUCUCAAACUCCUGACCUCAAGUGAUCCACUUGCCUCGGCCUCCCAAACUGCUGGGAUUACAGGCGUGAGCCACCGCGCCCGGCAGGAAAUUUAUUUAAAGUUAUGCAUGUAGUGACACAGCACCAACUCUUUUAGAGUCUGGGAUUUACCUUGAUAAGGUAACUGUUGGUACAAACUAUCCAAAACCUGGCAGUAUGCUUGCAGAUGCAUUACUUUUAGUGGUCAAGCUACGCUGUGGCAUGGGGUUUGUGAUGACAGUGAGAUGAGAUGAUGCCCGCAAGAGGCUUAGUGCACUGCUUGUUUACUAUCACUACAAACUGAACCUUUAAAAUAUGACGUAGUAUUUAAUAGCCGUAUUUGGCAAUACAACAUAUAUACACAACAUGUAAACUUUAUCACAUAUACAAGAAAUAACUUUUUAUCACCAAUUUUUGAGAUGCAUAUUUUCCUUUAUUGCUGAAUUAAUGAGGCACCAAUAAUCUCAAAAACACAAGUCAGACUUUAUUCUGAAAAUACCAUAAAGAGACAAAAAGAGUUAGUCAAGUAUUCUUGCCUGCUGGAGACACAGAAUUUCAAUAGCACCUUUUUUAAAAAAAGACAUGAACAUUUAUAAAAUUGCAGAACAUAUCUUACAUAUUCACAUAUAAAAUCAUGAACCAAUAAUAAUCCGGAUGGAAAAACUGAUCUGUUUCAUCAACAUCAAUAAACAUUUUGUUGAGAGUUUGUUCCACAUAUUAUACUUCCCUCAGUAUAUUAGAAGUACUUCAGCUUUCUAUUUGAAGUGGUUUUCCUAAAAAUAACCUUUUCCCCUGCUCAGGAUAACCAGCUAUUAUUAUAGUAUACAUAUUAUAAUAACAAGGUAUAUGUCUUUGACCUCAUAUAUGACUCCCCAGUUGCUACAGGAAUAGAUUUACUUUUCAUACACAAAUUGGAAAAGAUGUCAAAUAUUGAUGAUAGUAUCGAAGAGUUGUAGCUACUCUAAACUGAGUAAAUUAGCGAUUGUACAGACGAGCACUUCAUAAUAGUUGAAGGUUUUAAAUUCAGUUAAUUACAUGAAUAUUUGACAAGUAUGUGAAUGUUGUAAAUAUUUUGACCAAAGUACUAAUUUUGAUUCUAAUGAUUGCAUGUUACAUAGUCUCUAUAUAAUGUCAAUUAUACUAAGUGAUAACGUAAUUUCAAGUUCUUUAAUCAAAAAGUGUGAGUUACUCGUAAUGAAAACUGGCCCAAAAGGAGGGAGAAAAAAUCUUGUUUAUAAAGCAAGCCAUGCAAAACUACAACGACAUUGCAUUGUAGCUUUCCACCAGAUACGGAAUAUCUGCCAAGAAAAUAUUUCACUCAAUCUUCAAUCUAAACACUACUAAAAACAAAUUAAGGUUAAAAUUAUUUUACUAUGCGCUUGCAAUUAUACACACAAAAUACUGCUUUGGUAGACAUUUCUCUCUCUUUUCACAUUUUUUGUGGUACAUAUCUGGGAGUUACUGUGUGUCUAUAAUAAGCAAAUUUUAUAUUUCUAUAUUUCCUUUUCAUUUUCUAAGAGUUGGGGUCUCGUGCUGUUACCUAGGCUGUAGUGCAGUGGUAUGUCCAUGGCUCACUGCAAUCUCAACCUCCUGGGCUGAAGCGAUCCUCCCACCUCACCCUCCCGAGUAGCUGGGACAAACUACUCAGUGUACGCCACCAUGCCUGGCUAAUUUUUUUUAAUUUUUUUGUAGACAGGUUCUCGAUAUGUUGCCCAGGCUGGUCUUGAACUUGGCCUUAUUUCCUUCUAUCUAUGAUCAGUCUAGUUAGAUCACUUGAUUGACACAGACCUAUUCAAAGAAUAUAAUUAUGAACAAAGGAAAAAAUAAAGCUUAUGUAACCCAUAUUAAGCAAAAUUGUUGCCACUCUAAAUUUUAAAAAUCACAUGGAAAUGAAACAUAUGAAAAACUAUCAGUAUGUAUGGUGUAAGAGUUAGCCAGAUCGGCACUUUUAUUCACCAACUUAGUUAAUUUAAGGCAUUUGACAUGUUUCACUGAGAUCACUUAAUGAUUACAGAAUUGCCAAGCAAAUUAACAUCGGCCAUGCAUCUUAUAAAUUGCAGAUGAAUUUAUAUAACCAAACUAAUAUACUGCUUAACAGUUUUGAUUAUUUUAGUGUAUUUUUUUAAAACUUUGCUCAAAGCUUAGGGAAAAAUAUUGUGAAGAAUGCAGGGCCAGUCAUUAAGCCUAUUUUAUGUACUGGGAGACUGUUGGUGAAUUUUAGGGUCAAAAAAUGUUAAACAGCACAGCCAUUAGAGACAGUGAAAGAUUUUAUUUUUUUUUUUACUUUCAUCCAAACACACCCUUUUCUGAAAAACAUAAAAGCA